CCCGAGGGUCCCUUUAGCRUGCGCUAACAUCGGCCCUUUUCAUUUUGUACAGAGCGAAGCCGCCGCUGCCUCCCCCCUUGCAUACUCACAGAGCUCUGAAACUGUCGCUGCCAGCAGCACGGCUCAGGAAGCGCUUGAUGUUCUCYUUGCUGGCACUGAGCAGGAGCAGCGCGAGUCUGGCAAACAGGAGCGUCCAGUGGGCAGGGCUGAAGGCUGGAAGUUCUGCCUCCAGGUCUCCCAUAAACUGGAAGAGCACCUGCUUCCUCGCCUCCUUGUCCUGGAGGUUGGUGAGUGCCAGCUGCAGGAGAAGGGAAAUGAGGAGCYGUGAGCAGACAGGAUUCAGAAGGUCGUGCCAGUGCAAGGCCAGAGGGAGUGGCAUUGCCAGCAGUGCCUCUGGAUGCAGUUUUGAGAAGGUAGAGCCACGCCCCAGUUUGCUCGGUGAAAAGCAGCCUUCUGCACUCGUAGCCCUCCACACUAAGGGCCAGGUGACUAGCAGCUCGCAGCUGAAAUAA
This 512-nucleotide long non-coding RNA is filed under the name Dromaius novaehollandiae (emu). RNAcentral describes it as "lncRNA (ENSDNVG00000013402.1)". The record is from RNAcentral. Lineage: Eukaryota; Metazoa; Chordata; Aves; Casuariiformes; Dromaiidae.